GACGAACGCUGGCGGCGUGCUUAACACAUGCAAGUCGAACGGAAAGGCCCUGCUUUUGUGGGGUGCUCGAGUGGCGAACGGGUGAGUAACACGUGAGUAACCUGCCCUUGACUUUGGGAUAACUUCAGGAAACUGGGGCUAAUACCGGAUAGGAGCUCCUGCUGCAUGGUGGGGGUUGGAAAGUUUCGGCGGUUGGGGAUGGACUCGCGGCUUAUCAGCUUGUUGGUGGGGUAGUGGCUUACCAAGGCUUUGACGGGUAGCCGGCCUGAGAGGGUGACCGGCAACAUGGGGAAGGAGAGACGGCCAGGACCCCACCGGGGGGAAGGAGGGGGGAAUAUUGCACAAGGGGGGGAAGCCGGAUGCAGAAACGCCGGGGGGGGGAUGACGGCCUUCGGGUUGGAACCCGCUUUCGCCUGGGAGGAAGGGUGGGGGACGGAGAUGGGAAAAGGAGCACCGGCUAACUAAGU
Molecule: ribosomal RNA, 467 nt
Filed under: uncultured bacterium
Lineage: Bacteria
Description: partial 16S ribosomal RNA
Rfam family: Bacterial small subunit ribosomal RNA
Source: RNAcentral